Octodon degus (degu) is the source of this 4113-nucleotide RNA transcript. It is a transcript of the gene named vigilin pseudogene, with no coding region annotated. The record is from RefSeq and is a predicted model, not a curated record. Lineage: Eukaryota; Metazoa; Chordata; Mammalia; Rodentia; Octodontidae. The transcript has a single exon.
UACCAAGAUGGCAUCUUGUCCAUAUUUCGCCACAGUUCCUAUCUAUGAGCCUGGUUUCUUCUUCACACUAGUAAGAUUGGAAAAGCAAAAGCUGGCAGGCUGACAGAGGCAGCCUCAGGACGGACUUUCUGGCUACUGACCAUUUUGCUGUGGCUUACCCGGAUUGUGUGUUGGUGUGAGAUCAACCAUGAGUUCUGUUGCAGUUUUGACCCAAGAGAGUUUUGCUGAACACCGAAGUGGGCUGGUUCCACAACAAAUCAAAGUGGCCGCGUUAAAUUCCGAGGAGGAGAGCGACCCUCUGACCUACAAGGAUGCCUUCCCGCCACUUCCUGAGAAAGCAGCUUGCUUGGAGAGUGCCCGGGAACCCACUGCAGCCUGGAGCAACAAGAUCCGGCCCAUCAAGGGCUCUGUCAUCACUCAGGUGUUCCAUGUGCCCCUAGAGGAAAGAAAAUAUAAGGACAUGAAUCAAUUUGGAGAAGGUGAACAAGCAAAAAUCUGCCUUGAGAUCAUGCAGAGGACCGGUGCUCACUUGGAGCUCUCUUUGGCCAAAGACCAAGGCCUCUCCAUCAUGGUCUCAGGGAAGCUAGAUGCUGUCAUGAAAGCCCGGAAGGACAUCGUUGCUAGAUUGCAGACUCAGGCCUCAGCAACAGUUCCCAUUCCUAGGGAGCACCACCGCUUUGUUAUUGGCAAAAAUGGGGAGAAACUGCAAGACUUAGAGCUAAAAACUGCAACCAAAAUCCAGAUCCCACGCCCAGAAGACUCCAGCAAUCAGAUCAAGAUCACUGGCACCAAAGAGGGCAUAGAGAAAGCUCGCCAUGAAGUCCUCCUCAUCUCUGCUGAGCAGGACAAGCGUGCUGUGGAGAGACUAGAAGUGGAGAAGGCCUUCCAUCCCUUCAUCACAGGGCCAUACAAUAGGCUUGUGGGUGAGAUCAUGCAGGAGAUGGGGACACACAUCAAUAUCCCUCCACCCAGUGUCAGCUGGACGGAGAUCAUCUUCACUGGGGAGAAGGAGCAAUUAGCUCAGGCAGUGGCUCCAAUCAAGAAGAUUUAUGAGGAGAAGAAAAAGAAGACCACGACCAUCGCAGUGGAGGUGAGGAAAUCACAGCAUAAGUAUGUCAUUGGCCCGAAGGGCAACUCCCUACAGGAGAUCCUUGAGAAAACCGGUGUCUCUGUGGAGAUCCCACCCUCAGAGAGCACCUCUGAAACUGUGGUUCUUCAAGGCGAGCCAGAGAAGUUGGGGCACGCAUUGACAGAAGUCUAUGCCAAGGCUAACAGUUUCACAGUCUCCUCAGUCUCUGCCCCUUCCUGGCCCCACCGUUUCAUUAUUGGUAAGAAAGGGCAGAACCUGGCCAGAAUCACUCAGCAGAUGCCAAAGGUUCACAUCGAAUUCACAGAAGGUGAGGACAAGAUCACCCUGGAAGGUCCCACAGAGGAUGUAAAUGUGGCCCAGGAGCAGAUUGAAAGCAUGGUCAAAGACCUGAUUAACUGGAUGGACUACAUGGAGAUCAACAUUGACCACAGGUUCCACAGACACCUCAUUGGGAAGAGUGGCGCCAACAUAAACAGAAUCAAAGACCAGUACAAGGUGUCUGUGCGCAUCCCCCUGACAGUGAGAAGAGCAACCUGAUUCGCAUCGAGGGGGACCCCCAAGGUGUGCAGCAGGCCAAGAGGGAGCUUCUGGAGCUCGCGUCUCGCAUGGAAAAUGAGCGUACCAAGGAUUUAAUCAUCGAGCAGACAUUUCAUCUCACAAUCAUAGGGCAGAAAUGUGAACGGAUCCGUGAAAUUCGUGAUAAAUUCCCAGAGGUUAUCAACAACUUUCCAGACCCAGCACAAAAAAGUGGCAUUGUCCAACUCAGAGGGCCCAAGAAUGAAGUGGAAAAAUGCACCAAGUAUAUGCAGAAGAUGGUGGCAGACCUGGUGGAAAAUAGCUACUCGAUUUCUGUUCCGACUUCAAACAGUUCCACAAGAACAUCAUUGGCAAAGGAGGUGCAAACAUUAAGAAGAUCCGUGAAGAAAGCAACACCAAGAUUGACCUUCCAGCAGAGAACAGCAACUCUGAGACCAUCGUCAUCACAGGCAAGCAUGCCAACUGUGAGGCUGCGCGGAGUCGGAUUCUGUCCAUCCAAAAGGACCUGGCCAACAUAGCCAAGGUGGAGGUCUCAAUCCCGGCCAAGCUGCACAACUCUCUCAUUGGCACAAAGGGCCAUCUGAUCCACUCCAUCAUGGAGGAGUGUGGUGGGGUCCACAUCCACUUUCCUAUGGAAGGUUCCGGAAGCGACACCGUUGUCAUCAGAGACCCUUCCUCAGAUGUGGAGAAGGCCAGAAAGCAGCUCCUGCACCUGGCUGAGGAGAAGCAAACCAAGAGUUUCACUGUGGACAUCCGAGCCAAGCCAGAGUAUCACAAAUUCCUUAUUGGCAAAGGGGGCGGCAAAAUCCGCAAGGUGUGUGACAGCACCGGAGCCCCCAUCAUCUUCCCAGCCACAGAGGACAAGGACCAGGACCUGAUCACCAUCAUAGGAAAGGAGGACGCUGUCCGGGAGGCUCAGCGAGAGCUGGAGGCCCUGAUCCAGAACCUGGACAACGUAGUCGAAGACUACAUGCUGGUAGACCCCAAGAGCCACCGCCAUUUUGUCAUCAGAAGGGGCCAGGUGCUGAGAGAGAUUGCCGAGGAGUAUGGCGGGGUGAUGGUCAGCUUCCCACGCUUGGGCACACAGAGUGACAGGGUCACCCUCAAAGGUGCCAAGGACUAUGUGGAAGCAGCCAAGAAACGCAUCCGGGAGAUCACCGAGGACCUGGAGGCUCAAGUGACUGUGGAGUGUGCUAUUCCCCAGAAAUUCCAUCGAUCUGUCAUGGGCCCCAAAGGUUCUAGAAUCCAGCAGAUCACCCAGGAUUACAGUGUCCAGAUCAAGUUCCCAGACAGAGAGGAAACCCCUGUUCAUGGCAUGGAACCUGCCACCCAGGAGAAUGGAGAUGAAGUCAGCGAGAGCAGAGAGGCUGACCCCAGCUCACCCAGGAGGUAUGACAUCAUCACCAUCUCUGGCCGAAAGGAGAAGUGUGAGGCUGCCGAGAAAGCUUUGGAGGGCCUUGUUCCAGUCACCACUGAAGUGGAGGUACCCUUUGAUCUCCACCAUUACAUCAUUGGGCACAAGGGGAGUGGGAUCCGCAAAAUGAUGGAUGAGUUUGAGGUGAAUAUUCAUGUCUAGAAUAUUCAUGUCUAGUCUGAUGUCAUCGCCAUCACAGGCCUUGCUGCAAAUCUGGACAGGGCCAAGGUGGGGCUGCUAGAGCGCGUGAAGGAGCUGCAGGCUGAGCAAGAAGACCGGGCUCUAAGGAGCUUCAAACUGAAUGUCAUCGUAGACCCCAAAUACCAUCCCAAGAUCAUUGGGAGGAAAGGGGCAGUGAUCACCCAAAUCAGACUGGAGCAUGACGUGAACAUCCAGUUUCCGGAUAAGGAUGAUGGGGGCCAGCCCCAGGACCAAAUCACCAUCACCGGCUAUGAGAAGAACACAGAAGCUGCCCGGGAUGCCAUUUUGAAGAUCGUGGGGAAGCUUGAGCAGAUGGUAUCUGAGGACGUCCCCCUAGACCACCGUGUCCAUGCCCGCAUCAUCCGUGCCCGGGGCAAAGCCAUCCGAAAAAUCAUGGAUGAGUUCAAGGUAGACAUUCGCUUCCCCCAGAGUGGAGCUCCAGACCCCAACUGUGUCACUGUGACGGGGCUCCCAGAGAACUUGGAGGAGGCCAUCGACCACAGCCUCAACCUCGAAGAAGACUACCUGGCUGACAUGGUAGACAGCGAGGCACUACAGGUUUACAUGAAACCCCUGGCACAUGAAGAGGCCAAGGCCCCAUCCAAGGGCUUUGUGGUGCGGGAUGCUCCCUGGGCCAGCAGCAAUGAGAAGGCUCCUGACAUGAGCAGCUCUGAGGAAUUUCCCAGCUUUGGGGCACAGGUGGCCCCUAAGACCCUCCCCUGGGGUCCCAAGCGAUAAUGAUCAAAAAGCAGAAACCUUUCCAGCCUGCUGACCUGCACCCACCCACACAGUGGUUUGUCUCCACCUGACCCAGCGUCUGGACCCUCAUGACUUGUUGAUGCGCUUCCCUUCCCUGAGGUCUUGCGGUGAC